CGACGGGUAGGGCUGGGUCGUUUGCCGCGACCUGUCACCGGAAUGGCAAUACCGGAGCCAGUAACCGAAAUGGAGAGUGAACCGGGAAAUCGGUGGGUCCAGUCGCAGGACGUUGACGUGCGGUCUCUGGAGUCUGUCACAGCCGCAACAGCAGUCGUAGGUCUGCUGUGAGUGGCAUAAACCGUCGAACCGGGCCAGGCCCUGGCGGGAGCAGUCCUAAGAUGGGGUGGUGGAGCCCCAGAGAGUGCCGCAUUGAGAAAUGCACUGAUUCGCCUGCUGACGAACGACACACGAUAUCAAGGGGCCGUCG
This 310-nucleotide signal recognition particle RNA is filed under the name Candidatus Thorarchaeota archaeon. RNAcentral describes it as "signal recognition particle sRNA". It matches the Rfam family "Archaeal signal recognition particle RNA". The record is from RNAcentral. Lineage: Archaea; Promethearchaeati; Candidatus Thorarchaeota.